UGGGGAAUAUUGCACAAUGGGCGAAAGCCUGAUGCAGCAACGCCGCGUGAGUGAUGAAGGCCUUCGGGUUGUAAAGCUCUGUCUUUUGGGACGAUAAUGACGGUACCAAAGGAGGAAGCCACGGCUAACUACGUGCCAGCAGCCGCGGUAAUACGUAGGUGGCAAGCGUUGUCCGGAUUUACUGGGCGUAAAGGAUGCGUAGGCGGAUUUUAAGUGAGAUGUGAAAUACCCGGGCUUAACUUGGGUGCUGCAUUUCAAGCUGGGAAUCUAGAGUGCGGGAGAGGAGAAUGGAAUUCCUAUGUAGCGGUGAAAGUGCGUAGAGAUUAGGAAGAACACCAGUGGCGAAGGCGAUUCUCUGGACCGUAACUGACGCUGAGGCAUGAAAGCGUGGGUAGCAAACAGGAUUAGAUACCCUGGUAGUCCACGCCGUAAACGAUGAGUACUAGGUGUAGGAGG
Molecule: ribosomal RNA, 456 nt
Filed under: uncultured bacterium
Lineage: Bacteria
Description: partial 16S ribosomal RNA
Rfam family: Bacterial small subunit ribosomal RNA
Source: RNAcentral